This 691-nucleotide long non-coding RNA is filed under the name Zalophus californianus (California sea lion). Its description in RNAcentral is "lncRNA (ENSZCAG00015020863.1)". Lineage: Eukaryota; Metazoa; Chordata; Mammalia; Carnivora; Otariidae. The record is from RNAcentral.
GUUUGGCGGGCGGUGCUCGCGCGCACUUGGGACGGGGUUUGAAUUCCGCUCAGCCUCAUUCAGCUCCCGGAGACCGCGGGCUGUGCGCUGAGCGGUGAGUUUGCGGCGGCAGGGGGAGGGGGAGCUAGGGGAAGGGAGGGAGUGUGUGUGGGCUGGGGGGCGGGCUCCGCAUCUGCCAGAGGAAGCGGGGUGGCUGGGCUGCGCGCUAAGGAGUCAAGGAGCCGUCCGGUCCGCGACACCCGGAUUCCCGUCCCGUGGACCUGGGACGCCGGCGGGUCUGGGGGUGGUGGCUCCGAGUUAGUGACUGGCCCGCCAGCAGGAGAGGCCUGUGCUGCACAGGAUACUGCAUCUCAGCACCGCAGAGCGCAGGGGGACCAUGGAGGUGAAGACCCAGCUACCUGACAAAGGAGUCCUGCCUUCUCAGAGCCCUGCUUCUACUUCAGAGAAGCUCUCCAAAAAGAAGGGGAAAAUGCCAGUCAGAUUCCUGCCGGCCUGGAGCACGGUAAGCCUUCUCCCUUUGACCAGAGGGCCCCUCAGUUCUGAGAGGUCAGGCGCAUCUGCCACUCUCUCUGCCCGGCAGAGACCCUCGGGUGGCAAGGGCCCCCCUUGCACCUCCACAAAAGGAUAUGGCCCCAUCCCGUGGGGACUGGAUUUCCUGGGCCUCUUUCCUGCCUUCUUCUCUUUCCUAAUU